Molecule: ribosomal RNA, 504 nt
Filed under: uncultured bacterium
Lineage: Bacteria
Description: partial 16S ribosomal RNA
Rfam family: Bacterial small subunit ribosomal RNA
Source: RNAcentral
AUUGAACGCUGGCGGCAGGCCUAACACAUGCAAGUCGAGCGGUAGCACAGGGAGCUUGCUCCUGGGUGACGAGCGGCGGACGGGUGAGUAAUGUCUGGGAAACUGCCCGAUGGAGGGGGAUAACUACUGGAAACGGUAGCUAAUACCGCAUAACGUCGCAAGACCAAAGAGGGGGACCUUCGGGCCUCUUGCCAUCAGAAGUGCCCAGAUGGGAUUAGCUAGCAGGUGGGGUAACGGCUCACCUAGGCGACGAUCCCUAGCUGGUCUGAGAGGAUGACCAGCCACACUGGAACUGAGACACGGUCCAGACUCCUACGGGAGGCAGCAGUGGGGAAUAUUGCACAAUGGGCGCAAGCCUGAUGCAGCCAUGCCGCGUGUAUGAAGAAGGCCUUCGGGUUGUAAAGUACUUUCAGCGGGGAGGAAGGUGUUGAGGUUAAUAACCUCAGCAAUUGACGUUACCCGCAGAAGAAGCACCGGCUAACUCCGUGCCAGCCGCCGCGGUAA